CGCCGCGGUUACACGAGAGGUCCAAGUUGACAAACAACGGCGUAAAGAGUGGUUAAGAACAAACAUAAACUAAAGCCGAACAGUUCACAAAGUCAUCUUCAAGCUAACGAGAACAUGAAGCCCCACUACGAAAGUAGCUUUACAUUACCCUGAACCCACGAAAGCUAAGGAA
Molecule: ribosomal RNA, 172 nt
Filed under: Achirus lineatus (lined sole)
Lineage: Eukaryota; Metazoa; Chordata; Actinopteri; Pleuronectiformes; Achiridae
Description: partial 12S rRNA
Source: RNAcentral